UACGUAGGGGGCUAGCGUUGUCCGGAAUCAUUGGGCGUAAAGCGCGUGUAGGCGGUUCGGUAAGUCCGCUGUGAAAGUCGGGGGCUCAACCCUCGGAUGCCGGUGGAUACUGUCGGACUAGAGUACGGAAGAGGCGAGUGGAAUUCCUGGUGUAGCGGUGAAAUGCGCAGAUAUCAGGAGGAACACCGGUGGCGAAGGCGAAUCUCUGGACAGUUACUGACACUGAGGCACGAAGGCCAGGGGAGCAAACGGG
RNAcentral lists this ribosomal RNA (253 nucleotides) under uncultured bacterium. RNAcentral's name for it is "partial 16S ribosomal RNA". It matches the Rfam family "Bacterial small subunit ribosomal RNA", at positions 524 to 776 of the family's 1533-position model. The record is from RNAcentral.